UGCCUGCCUGCAAUAAAGCCAUAUCGCUC
Molecule: small RNA, 29 nt
Filed under: Bombyx mori (domestic silkworm)
Lineage: Eukaryota; Metazoa; Arthropoda; Insecta; Lepidoptera; Bombycidae
Description: ovarian small RNA-33862
Source: RNAcentral